RNAcentral lists this unclassified non-coding RNA (485 nucleotides) under Hevea brasiliensis (rubber tree). The record is from RNAcentral. Lineage: Eukaryota; Viridiplantae; Streptophyta; Magnoliopsida; Malpighiales; Euphorbiaceae.
GACAUUGAAGAUCGCCUAAAACUUCCUCUGCCUUCCAUUUCUCUCCCCUCCACCCUCUCAAUUUUUCACCCUUUUUCUUAAAACAAGUUUUGCCCUCGUUCAUUUAUUCAUUAUAGUUCGAGGAUUUGACCACAAAAUGUCCGGAUUCCGAAGACAGUUCCCAAUUCGAGAUAUAUAUGAGAAAGAAGAUAAGAAAAUGAAACAACUUAAAGAAGGAAAGUCCAUUUCUGUGAGGAAAAUUCGUGUUCUGUUUCACGACCCUGAUGCCACCGACUACUCCAGUGAAGAAGAUGAACAUGUCAAUCGAGGGGCUAAGAAGAUUGUUUGGGAGAUACCGCUUCCCGAUAUCCACCGAAAGCCAUCCAAGGAGAGCUCACAGAAAGAAAGGACUGAUAGAGGCAAAUUCAGAACCAAGACUGAAGCAAAAGAAAGCAGAAGAACACAGAGAUCGUCGUCGAUGUAUAAAGGCGUUCGACGAAGGAAAU